GGCUCUGUAGUGAAGUUCAUGGUGAGUUGCAAGCUCAUUGAUGUGCAUUGAUAGUGCACCGGAGCCU
This 67-nucleotide transfer RNA is filed under the name Corvus brachyrhynchos (American crow). RNAcentral's name for it is "tRNA-Cys". Lineage: Eukaryota; Metazoa; Chordata; Aves; Passeriformes; Corvidae. The record is from RNAcentral.